This is an RNA transcript of Bombyx mori (domestic silkworm), 3340 nucleotides long. RefSeq lists it as uncharacterized. NCBI's taxonomy places the organism in Eukaryota, Metazoa, Arthropoda, Insecta, Lepidoptera, Bombycidae. The transcript has 7 exons. The record is from RefSeq and is a predicted model, not a curated record.
CGACAACCCUGUUGUUACCAUAACAACGUAGCUUUGCAUUUCGUAAAAAACGUAUGUCAAUGUAAUGUAAUCGUUGUAAUUUUCCGUUUAAUUCGAUUACAAUCAUACGUACUAUGCUCUCUUUGUCUUUUACUGUCUACUAAUUGUAUAUAUGAUUUGAUGGAUAGCAGAGAAAUUUAAGUAUAUUACUAUGUCUGGAGUAAAGCAAGUACGAAAUAAAAAGCUUCUCCCGGAUUUGCGUAAAGAAGGCGAACUCACUAAAGAAAUAAUAUUAUCUACGAAGGAGAAACACGGAGUUCCUGUGACGUCUAGACUUUUUUCUCAUCAUACCUUAGCGAGCGUUAGAAAACUAAGCUUUUAUUUUCCUUAUAAUUUGCCAGACGACAGCCUGGACUUCAUUUUAACGUCCAAAUACAAUCACUCGACGGAGCAAUUUGCGGAUAAAGUCGACGUGUUCCUGCAGCCAGAGACGAUCGGUUGCGAGACCUGGCGACGACUUCGAAACACUUGUGAUAAAUUACCAAGCAGUGGAGUCCCAAUGGGCCAUCCUUUGAGACGAGGCGGUAUUCACGAGCGUCGGUCGCCCUUCAGCGUAAAGUUGAUGAAUUCUGGAGUUCACUCAUCGCAAACCAACCCUGGGUUCAGCAGGCAGCCAGCUGGUGGAGCCAUAUUCUUCUACUAAUUGAAUUAUUAUACGUUCUAAAUAUUCUGUGUUGUUUCAAAACUGUUUUUAAAUUUAGAAACGAUUUUUUUGUAAACGCGUUUAUUAGAAUGUAUAAAGAGAAGUUAAUUUCCGAACGUUACUUUUGGUUUUUCUUUUGGUAGAUUGUAAAUUAUGUAAAAUGUGAAAUAAAUAAUUAUUUCUUUUAAUGAAAAUGCGAGUAUACUGUAUUUUAUAAGUAUAGUUCAGGACAGCCAGUCGACGCUCGAUCUUUAGGGAUCUUUAAGGGCGUUACUGGAUCUUUAAGGGCGUUACUGUGUCCUUAGCCUCAAUUUUUUACUUCACACAUCAGUGUGCUUAGUGCGAGUUUUUUAACGUUCUCGAUAGCGUAAAAGUUAGCUCAUAUUUGUAUGGAACGGGAUCGUUUGCCUACGUUUGCCGUUAGGGGCGCUGUUCCAACUGCAUACAAAUUUGGGUUAACUUUUACGCUAUCGAGAACGUUAAAAAACUCGCACUAAGUAUACAGAAUGUUCUAGAAACUAACCACAAGCCAAGUAUUCCAAGAACGAUAUCAAGUAGGUAUUAAUAAGUACCAAGUACUUACUUGAUGACAUGAAAAAUUACGGACUCUUUUAUUAUUCACUUAAUUAAACAAUUUAAAACCAAUUAAUUAAAAUUUGUAUUUAUACAUUAGGUGCUGUUUUCAGGACUUAUUGUAUUCUAAUAUCUAAUUAUGUUUAUGUACAUAAACAAGGAAAUGGAAUGAAUGGAAGCAAUUCAAGUCAAGGCUUUUGAUUCAGUUGUCGGCCUAAUGUCUGUUGGUUGUUGUUUAAAUGCAUUUUUCGCGCAUUCCUGUUAAUGUUAAAAUUCAGAACAUCAAAAGAUCUUCGAUGUCAAGGUUACGAUUAAGCGAUGAGCCGAUCAGAAUAAUUAUAACGAUGGUGACUUAUCCGUUAGGUGACGACGACUUCAAAACUUUAAGGGAGUAGUUUGCCCAGCCCCUAUAAAUAUGAAGUAAGAGAUAAUUUAUAGACGAUCAUUUGCGUUGUUAGGGUAAUGAUAGAGGGUUAUAUGCCCCGACAUUAAUGUUUUUUUAGGAAAAACUCUUUUUUGCCUUACUGUUUUCUUCUUCUUUUGUUAAAUUCUCUUUGUUAAUUUAUGACAGACAAAUUCAAUAUUAGGUUGACUUUCGGAAUAGAGAAAACUAAAUGUCGAAUAGAAACAUUAUUAACAUAUUAAAGUAUCAUAGCAUUUGUUCAAAUUGAAUUGUGCAUUUUGUACAAUGUAACUUCGUCUCUCAAGUAAUUAGCGCGGCGUAAAUUUAAAAUCAUAACUGUUAUAACUAAUAUUUUGGAAUGGAUUUCUUAGAUUCCUUGGAUUUAGAUACAGAUAAUAAAUCGCAACGUGUUCGAUCGUGGUACCUUUAUGAGCAGUUCAAAGAAAUUGAAAAGAAUCAACUUGAUGCCGCCAGGCGACUCAAGGACAAAUCGUAUCAAGAUAAAAUCCUGCGCCACGGGCUCGCAGAAAGGAAAGCCAGAAGAAGGCUUCAUGACCAGUUCGGAGCUUGUGAAAGUGAUUCAAGGUUGCACUAUAGUUCUAAGUAUGGAGAUGAGACCAUACUCAGUAUUAGCGCUGAAGAUAUAUUCGAAAGCCUUGCUGACUUCCAUGACGAAACCCCUGAUGGUUUCGAUGAUUUUCAUGAUGACUUAAGUCGGGUAGAUUCCGUAGUCGGUAAUUCUUACAAAGAAGAUUUUAAAAGCUUAGAAGACUUUAAAGAUUGCAAUAGCUGCACGGAAACUAUUAGUGUUCGCGACUUCAAGAAUGUUGAAUCUGCUGAUAAUUUACGUAACGAAGCGAAUGAAAUGGAACCAUUUUUAGCCAAUAAUUUCGAUAUAAAAUCGCAAAUUGAAUAUUCGCAGAAGGAUUUUAAAGAAAUUGAAAAUUUGAUGACCCCUAUUAAUUCUGAAGAAGUUUCAGAAGUCAGCAGUUUAGUUUCUGUAAAAGUUGAAGAUGGAUGUGAUGAGAAGCCCAAACAUUCGAGCUAUGAAAUUGUGGAUUUUGCUUUAUGGUCGAAAUUAGUCUCUUUUGCUUAUCAAAUUAUUAAGCUCAAUCAUGGGAAUUGUUUUUACGACUAUAGCUCUCAGUUUUUAACUGCAGUACUUAUUUGCGAUGCUCUGAAAAAGGGAAUCAGCAAAAUGUCCCUACGUCUCACCAAUAAAGUUUGCUGAUGAAAACAACGUAAACGAAACUAGCCAGAAACACAAAAAUCGUGAAAAAUUGGAAAACUUGAAAAAAUCAAUGACAUUUUUGAAGUUCUCGCCAUACAGCUCUGAUAAACAUUGCCAGCAAUACAAAAGGGAUUAUGGUUCCGAGAAAUAUGCCCGUGGAUGUCACGGGGGUCAUCUUGGAAAUUAUUAUAAAAACGUCAAGAGUGAGCCCUGGCGAACUUUCCAUAAAUUUUCAGUUUCCAAAAAUCUUUUAAAUAAGGCGUCAAGGAGCAGUUUUAUUCGAUCAGAUUAUUCCAGAAAAUCUAGUUCUUGUAAUUGUGAAAUUUGUGAUUGUUGCCAUAAGAAAAUUUCAAAUCCUAUGUUAAAGAUUGCUCGACGCAUCGAUGACUUUAUAAAACUGGAUAGUCCGAGGCAUAUUUAAUUUUUUAAUUAAAAUUUAUUAUGAAGUGAU